Molecule: long non-coding RNA, 3644 nt
Organism: Zonotrichia leucophrys gambelii
Lineage: Eukaryota; Metazoa; Chordata; Aves; Passeriformes; Passerellidae
Exons: 4
Source: RefSeq, a predicted model, not a curated record
UGCUUGCAGCCUGCUGAGGUGCCCUGGUGUUACUGUGUGUGGGCAGUGCCUGAAGCCUUCUGAAGAGGUGAGAUGUUAUUCUGUAUGGGUGGAAACUUUCUGAAAUUGUGUGGUGAUGCUCUGUAUAUUGUGGCUGUCUCAGCUCUGACAUACCAGCAUAAGGAAAGAUGAUGCAGAGCAUCAUAUCCCAGGUCUGAAGGAACAUGAGGUUCCUUCUGAAGCUCAACCAAAGGCAAAGAACCAGCAGCCAGAAAACAGAAGCUUCUGUGAACUUUGCAGUCACUGGGGUUCAAGUGGCUGCACAGGGCACAUUUCCCUGACCAUAAUGUUGGACAUGCAGACCAUGCAAGUUUGUGGGGAAGAAGGGGUGGCUUUGAACCAAAGGCAUUGAGUGGGAUGUCCCAUUGUUUGUAGGCACAGAGUUUGUGGUGGUUGGGAGUGGGGCUGGGCCCAGCCUCAUCCUUAAUGGGCUACAGGUGUGCAGGGCAGGUGAAUGCUGUUGAAGGGAACGAGCCAUGGAGUGCCCAGGGGCACUGACCAACCACCAAAGGGAACAGAGGGCACACAGGUGCAGGGCAGCAACAGCAGGGGAUAAAAGGCUGGGCUGAAGAACAAAGAGGAGCAGAUGCUUGAAGUCUUCUUUGGUGGUGGUUUUGGCUCCACCAUCAUCCUGAAACUUUGACUCUGAAAUUGUGCUGGCAUCCUAAAAUAUAUUUGAUGUACAACUUCCCCAGUAAGACAUUGAAAAAUUCUGCUCUCCUGAUGCAGAAACAGUGCUUCCAUCUCCUCCAAUUAAUUUUCAUCAGUGUUCUCCUAAAAGAGGUAUGUGCCUUUGAGAGAGAGGGGGAGAGCCACUGCAUAUGCAGUAAGGUGUGCAACACCCUCACAUCCUAAUCCUGCCAAAGGACACGGUUAAUGGAGAGAUGUGUAGAAUGCUUGUUUAUUCCACAGAAGAUAUUUCAGCUGGGGAUGAGGGCAUGUAUAAGGGAAGUAUAUUUUCUUAAGCUACAAGCAAUUGCAAUAAGGCCAAAGUGGCUGUAAAUAUCUUGUUUGGCACCCAGAAAAUGUAGAUUUUGGGGUCCAAACACAGUACAGAGUGUUAAAAGCUAAGAUCAUGAUUUCUUCCCAGUUCUGCUGGUCUCACUGAUGAAAAUAGUCCAGAAAAUUCAAGAACACCUGAUGUCUCUCAGUGGUGAGGGGCUUGAUAAGAGAUGUUCAAACUGGCAAAAUCCUUUCAUGUCCCAGUGUACUUAUGGCUAUUAAAUUUUUAGGGAGGUACUGCAAGAGUUAGUGAGGAAAGUAGGCCUGGAGAACAUGUCUGGAAGACUGAGAUUUUUCCAAGAAUAAUGUGAUCCAUCAGAGUGUUGUGCUCAUGUCAUUGCUGAAAGUUACUCUACUGCAUUUAUUGCCCAAACAGCUUCACUUUUUUAAAAAAGACAAACUGGUUUAUAACUGUUGGUAUUCUUGGAUGAUCCCUUUGGAAAACACUUCACAUUCCUUUGUGCAAGGAGCCUUUGGGGGUCUUUAAUGUUUUGGAUGUAUAGUACUGACUAGUGCCCAAUAGGAAUGCAGUUGGGAAGGAAGGUUGAGUUUGAUUUUUCACAGCACUGCGUCUUGUGUAACCCUUGAAAUCUGGGCACUGGUGUAGGAGAUAAAACAUCUCCCAGAGAAAAAUUCAGAGACCAUGCUGGCUUUACUGGCUUUGUUCUUUCUGUACUGCCACCAGAAACAGGAAACCAGCAGGAAAUAAAGCCUUCUAUUUCUGCUUUCAAAGCAAUGAAUCCACUUCCUUCUACUUCAGAUGGCAGCAGAUGAGCUACUCAUCCAGGCUCUCCUUAUAAUCACUGCUAAGGAAGAGGCAUUCCUAGAGCAUGAUUCAUGUGAGCUGUUUCACAUGCUGGCACGAGGAGGAGGUGAGAUGCACUGCUUCCCUCUGCCACCUGCAAAGAGAGGCUUUCCAUGUCUGCUUCAGAAGUUGGUGUCUCAUUUUCACUGACUGAGAACCCAGCCUAUAUGUUCAGCUGCUUCCCCUGAUUGUCUUAGUUAGCCCUCCUAAAGAAAGACUUUUUCUGAGCCAAACUCUGUGGGUUUUGGCAGCUGAGCAGCGCAAAAAUGCAAAACCUGGUGCAGAGGUGUAAUUCGUCCUCCAACUUAGAACAGACAAUUCCCAGAUGAAAACCUCUGUGUUUCCAGGACAUGCUCCUAUUGGAAGAAGUGCUUGUUGAUGCCCUUCCACCAGAAGCAGUGGACUCUGCAAGGGGUGAAUUACAUUUUUCUAAGGCUGGAGCCCAGGUUUGGCGAGAUGUGGGUUCCUUUUGGCUGCUCAUAAAAGAGAACAGCAAUUUCCUUUCAGAAGUGAGCACCAGUAGAAAAGAUGGGGUUUGACUCCUGCCUGUCUGCCCUUAUUGCAGGCAGGAUUGCCUCUGCAGCUGGUGUGUGUGCCUUCUGUCACACCUUUUUCUUCAGCUGCCUCACCCCUCUCCUGCAACCUUUUGCCAGAUUUUCAGACUUACACCUAGCUAUGAGUCUAAUGGGAGAAAAAAAUGAAGAAUGACUUAAAGGCCCUGCUGAAGAGGGAAAUAACUCUGCUUAUACAGGAGAAAAAUAUUAAGAGUUGGCUUGAAAAAAAACCUGGGAGAUGAAAUGAAGAUAAACUAGAAAACAGCAAACUGAUGGUAGACUGGAUGGUCAUUUUUUGUGGUUGAAAACUCUUACAAAUACCAGUGACCCUUGAAAGAUCUCUGAUUGAUUGGACAACUCUGGCUAAGUGGGGAACACAGCAGUAUAUUUUUCAUAUGGACAUGUCCUAGAGACUGUCCUGCUAGUACAGGCUCAGUAGCAUCUUUGAUAGCUUUUUCCUAACCCUUUUCCAUUGCCAUGACAGAUUCUGCAGGCUGCCAAGGGAGGAACAACAAAAAUCAAGCCAAGGGAGGUCUAAAAACCUCGCUCCAUCAAGUACAAUGUCUGCUGUGUGCAUUGUCAGGAAAGGUUUAGAUAUUGGCACAGACUUCUCUCCUGGAGGCAGGACAGUCAGGCAACUGAAUUCUCCAUAAAUUUUCCUGUCAUUCAUCUGCCAGGAGUAUUUUCCAGAAAUGCUGCUGUUCCAUCCAGGAACUCCCCUUUUGUAAUCGAAUGAUGAUUUAUUAUCCAAGCAAAGAAGAAAAAUAUAUUACCUUGGAAUUUUUGAAUGUGUAAUGAUAUGUAAGCCAUAAUAAUGAAUCACUCCUUUCCCUCCCCUCCCUUCCUCAUGUAUAUUUUAAAUAUAAAUUUCCAUAUCUGUCCUCCGAAGUUCUCCUUCACAAAGAAUUCCAGGUUAAGGUGUUGGAGAGUUUGAGAUACCUGAGUUAAGGAACAAACAAACAGAGCCAUGUGCCUUUCACCUCUCCACUCCCACAUUUCCUUGCCCUCCCCAUGUUGGGUCUCCUUGUGAGAGCCAUCUCUGUCUGUGACUCUUGGAUUAAGCCCUUUUCUGACCCAGAGAUGGGGCAACUGAGAGGUGUUUCAAGAACAACUUUUGUUCUAUUUUCAGUCUCAUGUGAAGGGUGAGACAAUACAGAUGUUAUAAUUCACAUCAUCAUAAUUAGAAGCCAAAUAUUUCUUUAUAAACGUUUCUUGGUCUAUCAGCUUUUGCCACGCCAUGCUGU